Molecule: long non-coding RNA, 958 nt
Organism: Pyrgilauda ruficollis (rufous-necked snowfinch)
Lineage: Eukaryota; Metazoa; Chordata; Aves; Passeriformes; Passeridae
Exons: 7
Source: RefSeq, a predicted model, not a curated record
UCACUCUCUAAACAACAACUUCGUGGCACUCAUUUGGGAUUUUCUCCAUGUCUUACUUUGAAGGCUCAGCAGCAGUGAUUAAAUAUGUGGACUACUGCUUAGCUACAGUUUUCCUUCCAUAAUGCUAUAAUUGAAUGAAGCUUGGAAAUGCAGAGAGAGAAAGACAAGAGUUAUAUAAAUAACUAAAGAAGUGAGGAGAGAAAAGGGAAAGAACACUUUAAAGAAUCGAAAGGGAAAAGGAAUCUAUGUGCAAUUUGAUUUUUAAGGAUAAUCUUCUCCAUACUUUUACUGAUGACUGCAGAGACACCAACAGGCCUUAUAAUUUCCAGGGUCAUUCUUCUUGCUCUUCUUGAAAACUGGAACAAGUCUCCACCUGAUCAGUUGGAACUUAAAAGAAUAGCAAAAGUCUCUUUCUUUUUUAAGGCACUGUAAACAGCACUAUUAACAAGAGCAGGGUUUUGAGGAUCUGAAUAUAAGCUGUGGAUGCUGCCUUGAUGAAAAGAAGAGAAAAGCAGAAAGACCCACUGGAUACAAGCCAGGUUGAAGAUUGGCCUUCUUCUAUAGAAGAUCAACACAUAGAUCUGGAGAAGGUAUUCAAUUGUUACUAGCACAAGUGAGGAGGGAGCAAGCUUCCUCCCCUUAUCUGCUCCACCUGUAGAACCCACAGCUCCUAAGAGCUGAGGAGUUUAUGAAUCUACUCCUCAUACUGCCAUGUACAAAAUAUAUGUGGGAAAUCUUGCUCCUUUUUCUCUUGCAUAAGUAUGAAGUAACCCUGUGAAAACAAAUAAGAUUACUUGUUGUUUACAUGUGUAAAAAUAAAAGGACAAUUUUGCUGAUCAAGUUAUAUCUGAAGACUAGUGUUGUAUAAAGGAUUUAUUUACUUGUAUUUUUAUGCUAGCCAGACAAAAAUAUCAACAACAAUAAAAAAAUUCUUUUGGUCUUCCCAGAAUUAAAAUUU